This 240-nucleotide long non-coding RNA is filed under the name Vigna radiata. RNAcentral's name for it is "long non-coding RNA (VRAD_LNC003680)". Lineage: Eukaryota; Viridiplantae; Streptophyta; Magnoliopsida; Fabales; Fabaceae. The record is from RNAcentral.
CCAAGAGCAGCUCACGAUUCACUCAAAACAACACCAAAAACUUAGGCUCAAAACUCACAGUUUUAUAGUGAAACAAAGCAAGAUCACUCCACUCACAUGCAUUCUUCUUUCAAGAUAGUAAUAUGUCUCACAAGUCCAGAUUUAAGAGUACCAACUCAAGGCUAAAGCAAGUGGAAAAAUGUAUAAUCCAACCUCAACACCAAAAGAAGUCUAAACCAAGACAACACAUGGUAGCAGCCA